Molecule: ribosomal RNA, 496 nt
Filed under: uncultured bacterium
Lineage: Bacteria
Description: partial 16S ribosomal RNA
Rfam family: Bacterial small subunit ribosomal RNA
Source: RNAcentral
AUGAACGCUGGCGGCGUGCCUAAUACAUGCAAGUCGAGCGAACGGACGAGAAGCUUGCUUUUCUGAUGUUAGCGGCGGCCGGGUGAGUAACACGUGGAUAACCUACCUAUAAGACUGGGAUAACUUCGGGAAACCGGAGCUAAUACCGGAUAAUAUUUUGAACCGCAUGGUUCAAAAGUGAAAGACGGUCUUGCUGUCACUUAUAGAUGGAUCCGCGCUGCAUUAGCUAGUUGGUAAGGUAACGGCUUACCAAGGCAACGAUGCAUAGCCGACCUGAGAGGGUGAUCGGCCACCCUGGAACUGGGACACGGUCCCGACUCCUACGGGAGGCAGCAGUAGGGAAUCUUCCGCAAUGGGCGGAAGCCUGGCGGAGCAACGCCGCGUUAGUGAUGAAGGUCUUCGGAUCGGAAAACUCUGUUAUUAGGGAAGAACAUAUGUGUAAGUAACUGUGCACAUCUUGACGGUACCUAAUCAGAAAGCCACGGCUAACUACGUG